This 451-nucleotide ribosomal RNA is filed under the name uncultured bacterium. Its description in RNAcentral is "bacterial SSU rRNA". It matches the Rfam family "Bacterial small subunit ribosomal RNA", at positions 29 to 524 of the family's 1533-position model. The record is from RNAcentral.
AACGAACGCUGGCGGCAGGCUUAACACAUGCAAGUCGAACGGUUGUAGCAAUACAGCAGUGGCAGACGGGUGAGUAACACGUGGGAACCUUCCUAGGGGUACGGAACAACUCAGGGAAACUUGAGCUAAUACCGUAUACGUCCGUGAGGAGAAAGAUUUAUCGCCCUUAGACGGGCCCGCGUAGGAUUAGGUAGUUGGUGGGGUAAUGGCCUACCAAGCCUACGAUCCUUAGCUGAUCUGAGAGGAUGAUCAGCCACACUGGGACUGAGACACGGCCCAGACUCCUACGGGAGGCAGCAGUGGGGAAUCUUGGACAAUGGGCGCAAGCCUGAUCCAGCCAUGCCGCGUGAGUGAUGAAGGCCUUAGGGUUGUAAAGCUCUUUUAGCAGGGAAGAUAAUGACGGUACCUGCAGAAAAGCCCCGGCUAACUUCGUGCCAGCCGCCGCGGUAAU